RNAcentral lists this ribosomal RNA (234 nucleotides) under uncultured bacterium. Its description in RNAcentral is "partial 16S ribosomal RNA". It matches the Rfam family "Bacterial small subunit ribosomal RNA", at positions 15 to 244 of the family's 1533-position model. The record is from RNAcentral.
GAUCCUGGCUCAGGACGAACGCUGGCGGCGCGCCUAACACAUGCAAGUCGGACGAGCGAGAGAGAGCUUGCUUUCUCGAGCGAGUGGCGAACGGGUGAGUAACGCGUGAGGAACCUGCCUCAAAGAGGGGGACAACAGUUGGAAACGACUGCUAAUACCGCAUAAGCCCACAGCUCGGCAUCGAGCAGAGGGAAAAGGAGCAAUCCGCUUUGAGAUGGCCUCGCGUCCGAUUAG